RNAcentral lists this ribosomal RNA (294 nucleotides) under uncultured bacterium. RNAcentral's name for it is "partial 16S ribosomal RNA". It matches the Rfam family "Bacterial small subunit ribosomal RNA", at positions 335 to 621 of the family's 1533-position model. The record is from RNAcentral.
CUCCCUACGGGGGGCAGCAGUAGGGAAUUUUCGUCAAUGGGCGCAAGCCUGAACGAGCAAUGCCGCGUGAACGAGGAAGGUCUUCGGAUCGUAAAGUUCUGUUGAAGGGGAAAAAGAGCGGAGAGAGGAAAUGGUCUCCGAUUGAUAUUACCCUUCGAGGAAGUCACGGCUAACUACGUGCCAGCAGCCGCGGUAAUACGUAGGUGGCGAGCGUUAUCCGGAAUGAUUGGGCGUAAAGGGAGCGCAGGCGGCGCGUUAAGCCUGGUGUGAAAGCCCGCGGCCCAACCGCGGGAC